This 86-nucleotide transfer RNA is filed under the name Otocryptis wiegmanni. RNAcentral's name for it is "tRNA-Gln". The record is from RNAcentral. Lineage: Eukaryota; Metazoa; Chordata; Lepidosauria; Squamata; Agamidae.
ACCAAACAACUACACUAGGGAAAUGGGACUCGAACCCGUAUCUAAGAAUCCAAAACUCUUCGUAUUUCCGGCCAUACUCCUCCCUA